RNAcentral lists this ribosomal RNA (314 nucleotides) under uncultured bacterium. Its description in RNAcentral is "bacterial SSU rRNA". It matches the Rfam family "Bacterial small subunit ribosomal RNA", at positions 29 to 334 of the family's 1533-position model. The record is from RNAcentral.
AGUGAACGUUAGCGGCGGGCCUAACACAUGCAAGUCGAACGAGAAAAUCCCUUCGGGGGUGAGUACAGUGGCGCACGGGUGAGGAACGCGUAGGUAAUCUACCCUUUGGCGGGGGACAACAUUCCGAAAGGAAUGCUAAUACCGCGUAAGACCACGUUCACUACGGUGAGAGUGGUAAAAGGUGCCUCAAAGCACCACCAAAGGAUGAGCCUGCGUCCCAUCAGCUUGUUGGUAAGGUAAUGGCUUACCAAGGCUAAGACGGGUAGCUGGUCUGAGAGGAUGAUCAGCCACACUGGCACUGGAACACGGGCCAG